GGCCUUGUGGCCCAAUGGAUAAGGCACCUGACUACGGAUCAGGAGAUACCAGGUUCGAGCCCUGGCAGGGUCG
Non-coding RNA from Nematostella vectensis (starlet sea anemone), 73 nucleotides. The record is from Rfam. Lineage: Eukaryota; Metazoa; Cnidaria; Anthozoa; Actiniaria; Edwardsiidae.